This 1753-nucleotide long non-coding RNA is filed under the name Homo sapiens (human). RNAcentral describes it as "HSALNT0294586". The record is from RNAcentral. Lineage: Eukaryota; Metazoa; Chordata; Mammalia; Primates; Hominidae.
CCUGUAACGGUACUUCUUGCUCAGUGACAGCAGCAACCCACCUCCUUAUCCCUUUCAUUGGCUUAUAAACCCGUCCUUUAAACCACUAUUUGGGAGGUCGGGCCAUCAGUUUCGGCGUUUUUUCCAGAGAGGCAGGCUCACAGCGAUAUCGCGAGAGACGGUAAGCUCCCUCUUUCGACCCCCUUUUUCCAACUCCUCCGGCGGCUAAAAGAAGUUUAAAUCUGAUUGGAUGUCGGCAAGGAAGUUGAUAGGCUGAAAUAACUGUCCAUCACUCGCUUAAAGGGGUAGGCCUGUAUAACGGAGGAGGCUGACUGAAGGUGAAAGACUAGAACACGUGCUUGCUGUGCGACGUCACUUAGAUGUCGCGAGAGGGUGACUGUGCGCCAGCCCCGCCUCCCCGCGUUUUCGGCGUUCUCCCCACAAACAUUUGUUAAGUUCCGUGGGGUGUUUGGCUGUGCUUCGGCCCUUGGAGUUCGAAACUUCUGAGCUCCCCGCCGUCGUACCUGUGCCGGCCAAGGGGCGGGGCAGGCUUUCCGGCUGUCGGGGCCCUCCAGUCCCUCAGGAAGCCGUCCUGGGACGCCUAGCGGACACCAUUUUACGUCGCUGUGGUAGCUGAGUGAACAGCCGGGGGGAGCCCCGCCCCCCGCGCGCGGGAGAGCGCCGCCCGCGGUCACCUGGGCCCGCGGGGCAGAGAGUUCACGGUUCCUGCAGCCUCGGGUCAUGCUGACGCCCCCGGGCGGUGCUAACACGUAACACGCGGGACCUCGAGAGCUAAGAAGCAGGGCGACUAAGACGCAGCCCUCGCCCAGGAGCCCGUCUCUCCCGCGAGCUACCCGUUCCCGCCCAAGUACUCCGGGUAACCGAGGGGAGUGACCGUCGCUCCCCGCCUCGUGGCCCGCGGGCGGAGCCGGAACUGUCGGGACACCGCGGACGUGUCUUUGGGCGGCAUGUUUUAUGUUGCGAAUCUGUGUGGAUUUUUAAAUUCUGUAUUCCCCUAAAAUAGCAGUGUUUUUAAUAUGUAAUGCUUCUACCCUGAAAAUCACCAAGCGAAAUUUAGGCUCCAUGCAGAUAUGUCACUUGUUUUUCCCCCUGUGGCUUCUUGUAUCCCUUGGCACUCUUAUUGUGUGUUAAAAGCCAGCAGCACAGGCACCUUGCGGCCGCUCCAGAUCCACCUCGUUUGGCUCCUUCAGUCGUUCGCCGUACAACUUUCCUUUCCAUAGUGCGUUACUGUGGCGGACAGAGCACCUGUGAGAGGUGCAGGCGAUGCCGAGCUUAGGGGGGUAUGGCCUGUGCCCCAGCACUCGCCGGUUGCUGGAGGGACGCAGCGCUGAGGUCACCACAGCCUUUAGACUGUCUGCAGCCCUCCCAGGUUCGCGCCGGGGCGGAGGUUAUGAGGAUUCUUGUAUUGAUCCGGUCCUCAACCCUAUUUCCCAAGAUCCAAUCUAUAGUAGAGGGUGUGAGGUGUUUUUAAACGUGACAUUUUUCAAGGUAACAAUAAUAUCCCAAAAGCUGAAACCUAAACUUAAAAACUGUGUUAAGAUUAGGGACUGUAACCUAAAUUUAGCCUUGGCUGAGCCAUCCUUCUUUUUGUAAAUAAUCGUGAGGAAUGUGAAGCUGGAGGCCUUCUAUCUCUUGAUUAGAUCAAAGAAACUCGAAGGAAGAAGCUCAAUUGUAAAGCAUAAAAAUCCACAAUAUUGUAAUGUGUAGACAUCUUCAUUGUAUUAAAAUGGGAAAUAAAACUUCAUAAGGCAUA